This is a long non-coding RNA of Chenopodium quinoa (quinoa), 3852 nucleotides long. RefSeq lists it as uncharacterized. The transcript has 3 exons. Lineage: Eukaryota; Viridiplantae; Streptophyta; Magnoliopsida; Caryophyllales; Amaranthaceae. The record is from RefSeq and is a predicted model, not a curated record.
CCCUACUACCAGCUUCUUACAAAUUACUACAACAAUCUAUUUUUUUUCCCUUUCUUUCUUUUCGCAAAACAAAACGCACCUUAGCUUACACUUUCUCUCUCUUCCAAGCUUCCCUUCUUCCAUUUUCUCUCUCUUCAAAAUCAGCUUUGCCAUUUCUGUAAAAUUGCUUGAAUUCUUCUUCAAUGGCAAGAACUCGAGGUGGUGGCACAUUUCACCGGAGAAGAGGCCUUCGUUCUUCAGCAACAAAAGUAGAUCAACCACUUUCUAGUAUAAUCUUUGUUUAUCAUUUGAUUUCUGCAGUUUUGAGCUGAUUAAUUGAUCAACCACUUCAGCUACAAAAGGAAAUUACUAUUUGCAUGAAUUUUUGUUUGAAUUUUGUUUCGUAUUGAAGAUUAUUUGAAAAUCUAGGGUUUUUCGAUGUUCGAUUGUUUUCUCUGUUUAUUGUUUGAUUGAACACAUAAAACCACAAUAAAUGUUCGAUUGAAUUUUGUUUCGAUUGUUUAGCUGUUUGUUUUCUCGUUGAAUUUUGAUUGAUUUUAAUUUUUUUCAUGAUUUAGUUGUUUUCGUUGUUGAUUUAUUGUUUUUGAGUUUAGUUCCAGUACUUGAUGAUGAUUUGUACUUGAUGAUGUUUUGUACUCGAUGAUGAUUUGUGCUCGAUGAUGUUUUCGCUGUUAAUUCAUUAGUUUUUAUGUCUUUGUUGUUUGAAUGAAGUUUACUGAAUUUUCGAGCUUAGAUACUUUGGUUACUGGCCUGCAUUAUGUAAUUUGUAAUGGUUCUAUUUUUUAGGGUUGAUUCUUGUGAUUUUCUGGUCAUUUUUGUUUUAGAAAGGCCACUAUAAUUUACAUUUUGAUUUCUUUUGUAUAAUAAUGGUGCCCAAUGCUUGAAGAAGAAAACUAGAGCUAACAAGAAAAAGAGUGUUGCUAUAGAGGUUCAUGAAAAUGUUCUUGAGCAACAAGUUUCUGCAAUUGGUUCACCUUCGUCUCGUCGUAAGAGAAAUCAUGAAGAUGAAGCUAAAGCUGCUGCUCUUGUUCAUCCUAAGAAGCCAAGGAUAAGAACGAAGAAAUCGAUAGUUGAAGUUGGUGGUGAUGUACUUACGUAAAUAACUUUAUUUACUUUGGAGUGCUCUCAAAAAGUUAGAUUCAAAAUGUAUGUUGGUGUGACUAUGCAAAUUUGGGACUGGAUUGUGGUUAAGUUGUGCUUCUUUGACCUUUAAUUAUUGGGCACUAAUUUGAACUUGUCAGACUGCAUUGAUUUUUUGAUUUGUUAACUUGAUGUUGAUUUAAUGUUGAUAGCAUUAUUAUUUCUACUUUCUAGAUUGCGGCCAUUUUAAACUAAAUGUAGGCCUUUGCAUUUGGUUGACAUGAUGUCUAACUUUACUCUUGAUCAAAACAAUUCUGUAAAUGAAAUCGGUUUUAGAGGUUUGUUAUCAUUGAAGUUGAAAAGGAAUGCUACUAGUAUGUACAGGUGGCUAAUUGAUUCUUUUGAUUGUGGUAGCUUCAUGUUUUGAAUCAAUAAUAAUAAGGAGUUUGUGGUGACUGAGUAUGAUGUGUAUGACGUGUUUUGCCUUCCUUUGAACCCCAAAAAUGUUGAGGAGAUACCUAGAUCUGCUAAUAAAAAUAAUUCAGACUUUGUUUUCAAACAUAAUUAGAGAUUGCAUUUUGGGUUGACAGAUGACAAUGAUCAAAUUCCACUUAAUUUGUUAGAAACUAGGAUACCUACUUUAGGUCAAGGUGGAGAUGAGUUUAAGCAACUCUUUAUUAUGCAUGCAAUAUCCACGUUUUUAGCUCCUACUUCUAACAGAACCACUGAUCUUAGGAUUGUCAAGGCACUUGAUGAUGUUGAACAAAUUAAGAAUUUGAAUUGGUGUAAAUAUAUUCUUGAAAAACUGUGUGAAGGUGUUAAAAAUUACAUAAAAGGAGAAAUUCAGAACUGUUGUGGUUGUAUUUUGAUGUUGGAGAUUAUUUACUUCCAUAGGUUGAAAUUUAGGAAUGUUGAAUUAAGUACUUCUUUACCCUUAAUUCAACAUUGAAAUCAUGAGUUGAUUAGGGAUAGAAUUAAGAAGGAAAAAUUGUCCAAAUGUUUUGGGUGUGAGAUUUUACUCUCUGAUGUGUAUCCUGUUAGUGGUAAAUUGAAGUUUCUGGAUGGACAUGUUGUGGGUACUGCAGGGAAAAGUAUGGGGAAUGUUACGUUGUGGGGAUUGAUAAUGUUGUGAGGAAUGUCGGGGGGAGUGUUGAUGUGCUUGAUUCCCAGGGUACAAUACAGCUCAUUCUCCCACCAUGUUCGAUGUCAGAUUAAGAGAUCCAUUUGGCUGCUAUUGAUCCCGUUCAUGAGCAAUUUUUGUUCAUGAAAAGAGAUAUGCAUGUGAUUUCUUGUUUUUACAAUGACAAGAUAAAAGAGAUUCUUCUUUCACGUGGUGAGGCCAACAACUCUCCUAGUAUUAAUUUGUCCCAGAAUAAUUCGUUUUUUUAUGGAUCCUCGAGUUCAAUCUGUGAUUGACGAGAUCUCCGGACUUGCUAUUUGGUGACAAAAUUACCCGAGGUGUUGGAUCAAAUUUUUACAUUUGACCACAACAAAACAAAUAGAGGGAGAAAGGUUAUUAGAGGCACUUUGCCUGUGAUUGGCUUUGAAAAUAUUCUUGCAAAUGGAGGGUCCAGGUGUUUGUUUUCUUUGGAUUGAAAAUCUGGUGAAAAGCUUAUACUUAUUUCACACUUUUUGAAGUUAAAUAACAAGGAAAUGAAGCUAUUGGAUUCAUUAGUCCUAGAGAUUGUUGACUAUUGCAUUAUUAAUGAUUCUUGUUUGGCUCCUAAGUAAGUAACCUUUUGUUUAAUUACAUUGAUUUUCUCUUAUUUAUUUAUUUAUGAAACACCUUUUUAAUUCUUAUUUUAUACUCUUUGACUCAGUGAACUGUUGGUAUUUUUUCACGAAAAGCAUUUGAUUCAAAGGCAAGAAUUCUACACAUUAAUUAGGAGAGCCUUCUGAAAUCAUGAGCAGUAGUAUUUUGGAUUGCUCGGCAUUGCUUCUCAAAGAAAAUCAUAAAUAUUUAAAGGAUGGACCUCGAAAAUUGUACUUUGGUUCUUCAAUUAGUGUUACAAUAGUAGAAGCUGCCGGCAGUGAUGGCAAUUCACAACUAAUGGACAAUGUUUAUCAAGGUUUGGAGGAGUGGAUGACAAGAGCUUGCAAUGAUUUUGAUUUGUCAGAAAUGGAGCUGGUAAUACUUUCUAUUUUUUUAUGCUUUGAAAAAUAUAGUUCCUUUUUUUUUAUGUAUAGAUACCUUUUUUGAAAUGAGAGUGACUAUUGAAAAUUGCAUAAGUAUAUUUUUAAAAGAGGUCACUAUAAUAUUAAAAAUGGAAUCUAUAUGUGUUUUUUUUUAUUCAGACUAAUGGUGGUAUUAUUGUUGCAAAUAUUUUUACCUUGUCUUUGGGGCAAUCACUAUUGCUUAUUUGUGGUGAAUUUGACUAAAGGAAAAAUUCAGUUUAUUGAUAAUCUGAAUUAUGAUGAGGAUAAUUGUAUCUUUUUGAAAAAGUUGUCUAGUCUCCUGGUAUUACUUUCUCACUCUUUUCACAAUUAAGUUUAUUGUUUAUUGUUUGUAUUGACUUGUUCAUAGUGAGCCAAACAUUCUCUCUCUUUUCUUGUCUGGUGUUUUGGAUUUUAUUCCGGGCAUUUUUGUUUAAAUCACUUUUUAUCAUCUUUUUAAGACCCUUUCUUUUUACUAUCGCAUUGCUUAUGUGGCUGUUGUGAUGCUUCCUGUUGUGAUAGCAGGAGUAUGGCUAUCAUCUGAUCUGUUAUUAGGAUCUGAUCUCUCUUGAACUUGAUCUGCACUUUGUGUGGUCUGAACUUUGUUAGGCAACAUUG